Molecule: long non-coding RNA, 3564 nt
Organism: Pan troglodytes (chimpanzee)
Lineage: Eukaryota; Metazoa; Chordata; Mammalia; Primates; Hominidae
Exons: 3
Source: RefSeq, a predicted model, not a curated record
UGGAGUUUCUCUCUUGUUGCCCAGGCUGGAGUGCAUGUUGCUGUGCACUUUGAGGGCAGGAACUGGCUCCUGCUCCAGUUUGCAUCCUCUGCGCCCAGCACCAGGCCCAUCUGCUCAAUGCAGGAUAAGCAGGUAGCUUCAGGCUGUCCACCCAACCCUUGCAGAGGGUGGAGCUACAGAGAGCAUGAGUGGCCAAGAUGAAGCCCUCAUUGGAUUCUUUGACUCUUUCUACUAUGUGAGAUAUUCUUGAUGUCUGAGGGAUGAACGGCAAACAAAGUGUGGCCUACCCAUACAAUGGGGACAGUAGUUAGCCCUAAGAAGGAAGGAAGUUCUGACGCACGCUACAACACAGGUGGGCCUUGAGAACGUCACGCUAAGUGAAAGAAGGCAGUUGGAAAAAGACAAAUGAUUGUAUGAUUUCACUCACAUGUGGCACCUGGAGUCGUCAAAUUCAGAGACAGAAAGUAGAAUGGUGGCUGCCAGGGGCUGGGGGAGGCGGAAAGGGGAGUUAGUGGACACAGAGUUUCAGAUUGCAAGAUGAAGAAAGUUCUGGAGAUGGAUGGUGGUGAUGGUGGCACAACACUGUGAGUGUAUUUAAUGCCACAGAAUCAUCCACUUAGAAGUAUUUCAGAUGGUAAAUUUCAUCUUUUGUGUAUUUACCACAAUUUUUAAAAACUAAGAAAAUUAAGAUAUCCUUGAUGUCAGAUGCCAGGAGAGCGGUGUCAGGCAUCUCACCAGCCGAUUCUCCCAGAAUUUUUCCUCCAUCGGGUAACCACGAGCCUGGGGUAUCCCAAAGAGAAGCCUCAGUGUAAAAUCAACAAUCUCAGUGGAGUGGCUUCAUCAGGGAGUGACAGGGGCGUGACUUACUACUGGAGGACAAGGCAGCAGGCAGGGAAGAUGGCCCAAGCCUGCUCUGAACUGUAAGGAGCACGCAGAACCUCUUAUCCAGACCCAGAGGGCUGCCCUGUUGAUAGCACAAACAGCUCAGGGCCAGCAGCGCAGGAAAACCCCAGGGUCCAGCCAGGUCACGGGCACAGGCCUGCACUCACGGGUCAUUGCAGUGAGGAUGGAGGUAUCACUGCAAAUGCGUAAGAGGAUAUUUUCAGCAAUAGUAAAAUUUUUAACAGAUUUUAGAAAUGAAAGGGUUCCCCCUGCAUAUGUCAAGAACCUGAGUUUCUUUCUGAAACUUGGGUGGGACCCUUUAGAGUUGCUUCAAAUAGAAAACACACCAUUGGCGGCCACUCCCCUGAGGAAAGGCAGACUUCAUGGCUGAAGGCGUCACCCGAGUGCUCCCGGUUUUCAGCAUCACACGGAGUGGCUCAGGUGCCCAUUCAUUUUAUGAGUCAGCCUGGGGAGAGUACCCACAGAUUCGGAGUCACAUCUCUGAUGGGACACAAGCUCUACCCUUUCCAAGCAUUGAUGAUCCUGAGGUUGAUCAAUACUGAGCACUGAUGUCUGUGAAAACAAAUCACUUAGGUGCAGAGACACCGCAAUGACCAUCCCGCCGGGGGCAACUGCCUGAUUCCUUCCACAUCCUGGUCAACAUCCCUGGCCAACAGGGCAGCCCACGGACAGCUGCUCUGCCUGGCUCCUGCUGAAAAGCCAACAGCACAACAACUCUGCCCUCCAUACAAAACCACAUGGGCCCUCGAGAUCACACUGGGGCGCCCCAUUUGCCCCCACUUCCUUGGGCUGUGGCUGGUCUGUCUGACAUUUGCUCUGGGAGAUGAGCCAGUGUCUGCCCAGGCCACCACGGGGGCAGAGACGUGAAACAGGCUUCAGCUACUAAUUUUCCAUUAAACGAGAAGAAAAUCAGCUAUUGUGAGAAGAGUCACAUGAAGGUACCUAAAAGUUGUCACAGUCCACUCACUCCAAAUAAAACCCAUCCCAUUAGGAAUAUUGUCAUUGCAGCCCAUCUCCAGCACUCUGCUCUAUAUAAAAGACUGACUGUGGCAAGAUAAGGGUUUAAAAUUGAAAUCAAAGAGCCAUUCCUCAGUGAUACCCAGGAAAUGAGGCACACGGGCAGAUAUUCAACCCGCCCACACCAAGAAUCCUAAAAGUUACCGUACAGAUUGCUCGUUUUCAAGCAACACACAAUGAUACAAGUAAGUCCUCAAGAAGACUGCAUGGGUGGAGGCACUGGACUUCUAAUCAUGCCAUCUCUCAGCUCAGGGGUCCACGACAAAGCUAACCCCACUGAGAUGAAAAGCCACUUACCCCUUUUUCAUCACUUGCAAUACAAAUUUCAGAACCCAUCCCAAACUGGAAGGAAGGAUACGACUGAAACUGAACUCAUGCCCAGCUAACCUGGGAAGUACACCCUCCUCAGAUAAUGGAGACCCACCAAUUCCCGGGUGUCAGACGUCACACAACCUCUUCUCCCACCAGGGCUGGGGACCCUCAGGAAAGUCAGGUGUCCCUGAGAAACACCCGGCAACAUGCAGAACCACAGGGACAGGAGGCAAGGUUCCAGACAAAUACACCCAGUAGACAGUUAAAGAUUUCAGAGCUGGAGAGAGCUUAGGACACCCCGAUUCUCAGACUGCAGACAGCAGGUGGACACCACUGAGCUGGCGACAGCCCCAAAAGAGGUCAGCUUGACUGCGACGAGGGGACGUCCUGAUUAUCUGUCCAGUGCUCUGUGACAUCACCCCACCCCGCCUCCUAUAGCAGUGUUCUAACUACAUGAAAUUAACCUCACGUAUAAAACAUAUGCCUGGUUCAUUUGCAAACAGGCAGCUCUGAGCAGCACAUUCAGAAGUUGCCAACUUUGGGAGGCAGAGGAGUUCGAGAUCAGCCUGGGCAACAUGGUGAAACCCCAUCUCUAGGAAAAAUUUAUAAAUCAGCUGGAUAUGGAGGCACGUGCCUGUGAUCCCAGCUACUCUGGAGGCUGAGGCAUUCUACAGGCCUCCCAUGUCCCAGGAGCCAGCUCUGUCCACAGUGCUCUUCCUGCUCCUGCUCCUGGCCAACCCUCCAACCAAGGUGUCUAGGAGCCACAGGGAAGAGCGGGUUCUCUUGCUAGUUGCUCUUCCACUAGGCAGUGACACGCUGGCCGAGCUCCGCCUCCACCGGCUCUGAAGACAGCACAGACAACAGUUCCACCUCUUCCACUUCCACUGAGCAGAGGAACUGCGUCUGAAUGAAGCCAGAAAUGGGGCAUUUGGGGACCACAACAGAGAAUGGAUGCCUAGCAGAUGGGAGGACGACAAACUAACUAACACCCAGGCCUUGGACCCACGCCUCCCGAGGUGAGAUCUCAAACUCCUGGACUUAAGCGAUCCUCCCUCCUCAGCCUCACAAAGUGCUGGGAUUACAGCAUGAACCACCGUGCCCAGCCUUCAAAUCAGAUUUCUAAGGAGCCUAACAAGCAGCAGGCCUUUCCAGUUACAGUGCAUGGAAGUAACAAAGGCAGCCUCAGUCAGCAUCCAGCGCAGUCCUAGCAGACAGGGAUAAUGAAGUGGACGUGGGCCUCACGGGAGGGAAUACUGUCCCCCACCUCCACACCAUGCUAGUGAGAAAAACAGACUGCCUGCAGCUCCAAAACAUACAGCAACUUACCCAUAA